Molecule: ribosomal RNA, 446 nt
Filed under: uncultured bacterium
Lineage: Bacteria
Description: SSU rRNA
Rfam family: Bacterial small subunit ribosomal RNA
Source: RNAcentral
AGAACGAACGCUGGCGGCAUGCCUAACACAUGCAAGUCGAACGCUCUCUUCGGAGGGAGUGGCGCACGGGUGAGUAACGCGUGGGAACCUGCCUUGGAGUGGGGGAUAACCGAUGGAAACGUCGGCUAAUACCGCAUACGUCCUGAGGGAGAAAGAUUUAUCGCUCUGAGAGGGGCCCGCGUCGGAUUAGCUAGUUGGUGGGGUAACGGCCUACCAAGGCGAUGAUCCGUAGCUGGUCUGAGAGGAUGAUCAGCCACACUGGGACUGAGACACGGCCCAGACUCCUACGGGAGGCAGCAGUGGGGAAUAUUGGACAAUGGGCGCAAGCCUGAUCCAGCAAUGCCGCGUGAGUGAUGACGGCCUUAGGGUUGUAAAGCUCUUUCGGCGGGGACGAUGAUGACGGUACCCGCAGAAGAAGCCCCGGCUAACUUCGCGCCAGCAGCCGC